UAGCCGUGCGGUAAGCACAAAUCGAACUAUUUUUUCGCCUUUUACUAAAGAAUACCGUGUGCUUGCCGUUUUAUAGGCGGCAUACGCCUAAUAGUCACUAGUAAAAAGGAGCACUAGG
Molecule: small nuclear RNA, 118 nt
Organism: Papaver somniferum (opium poppy)
Lineage: Eukaryota; Viridiplantae; Streptophyta; Magnoliopsida; Ranunculales; Papaveraceae
Product: U5 spliceosomal RNA
Exons: 1
Source: RefSeq, a predicted model, not a curated record